This 379-nucleotide ribosomal RNA is filed under the name uncultured eukaryote. RNAcentral's name for it is "partial 18S ribosomal RNA". It matches the Rfam family "Eukaryotic small subunit ribosomal RNA", at positions 592 to 976 of the family's 1831-position model. The record is from RNAcentral.
CAAUAGCGUAUAUUUAAGUUGUUGCAGUUAAAAAGCUCGUAGUUGGAUUUCGGGUAGGAUUUGCCGGUCCGUCUUUGAGAUGUGUACUGGUAAGUCCUAUCUUCUUGUCGGGGACUAGCUCCUGGGCUUCACUGUCCGGGACUAGGAGCUGACGAGGUUACUUUGAGUAAAUUAGAGUGUUCAAAGCAAGCCUACGCUCUGAAUACAUUAGCAUGGAAUAACACGAUAGGACUCUGGCUUAUCUUGUUGGUCUGUGAGACCAGAGUAAUGAUUAAGAGGGACAGUCGGGGGCAUUCGUAUUUCAUUGUCAGAGGUGAAAUUCUUGGAUUUAUGAAAGACGAACUUCUGCGAAAGCAUUUGUCAAGGAUGUUUUCAUUAA